This 379-nucleotide ribosomal RNA is filed under the name uncultured cyanobacterium. Its description in RNAcentral is "bacterial SSU rRNA". It matches the Rfam family "Bacterial small subunit ribosomal RNA", at positions 376 to 770 of the family's 1533-position model. The record is from RNAcentral. Lineage: Bacteria; Bacillati; Cyanobacteriota.
CGAAAGCCUGACGGAGCAACGCCGCGUGUGGGAAGAAGGCCCUUGGGUUGUAAACCCCUUUUCUCAGGGAAGAAGUUCUGACGGUACCUGAGGAAUCAGCCUCGGCUAACUCCGUGCCAGCAGCCGCGGUAAUACGGAGGAGGCAAGCGUUAUCCGGAAUUAUUGGGCGUAAAGCGUCCGCAGGGGGCGCAUCAAGUCUGCUGUCAAAGGUCGGAGCUUAACUCCGGUUAGGCAGUGGAAACUGGUGCGCUAGAGGGCGACAGGGGUAGAGGGAAUUCCCAGUGUAGCGGUGAAAUGCGUAGAGAUUGGGAAGAACACCGGUGGCGAAAGCGCUCUACUGGGUCGCGCCUGACCCUCAGGGACGAAAGCUAAGGUAGCG